Molecule: ribosomal RNA, 468 nt
Filed under: uncultured bacterium
Lineage: Bacteria
Description: partial 16S ribosomal RNA
Rfam family: Bacterial small subunit ribosomal RNA
Source: RNAcentral
GAUGAACGCUGGCGGCGUGCCUAAUACAUGCAAGUCGAACGGAAAGGCCCUGCUUUUGUGGGUCGCACGAGUGGCGAACGGGUGAGUAACACAUGAGUAACCUGCCCUUGAAUUCGGGGUAACUCUAGGGAAAUGGGGAUAAUACCCGGUAGGAGAUCCUGCUGCACGGUGGUGGUUGGAAAGUUUCGGCGGUUGUGGAUGGUCUCGCUGCUUAUCAGCUUGUUGGUGGGGUAGUGGCUGACCAAGGCGACGACGGGUAGCCGGCCUGAGAGGGGGACGGGGCACCGGACUACUGCGAGACGGCGCAGACUAGUACGGGAGGCAACGGUGGGGAGUCUGACACAACAGGGCGACGCCUGAUGAGGCAACGCCGCGUUCGGGAUGUCGUGCUUUGGGGUAAGAACAGAUUUGUACUUAGACAAGACCUGAGUGACGGUAACUUAUCAGAAAGCCACGGCUAACUACGUG